GAUGAAGAACGUAGCGAAAUGCGAUACGUAAUGUGAAUUGCAGAAUUCAGUGAAUCAUCGAAUCUUUGAACGCAUAUUGCGCUCUCUGGUAUUCCGGAGAGCAUGCUUGUUUGAGUAUCAGUAAACACCUCAACUUCCAUAUCUUUUUUGAAAUGGGAGUUGGACUUGAGUGAUCCUAACGCUUUUCCUCACCGAAAAGUGGCGGGUUACUUGAAAUGCAGGUGCAGCUGGACUUUUCUCUGAGCUAUAAGCAUAUCUAUUUAGUCUGCCUAAAAAACAGAUUAUUACCUUUGCUGCAGCUAACAUAAAGGAGAUUAGUUCUUGUGCUGACUGAUGCAGGAUUCACAAAGACGGCUUCGGCCGACUUUGUAAACUCGAUCUCAAAUCAAGUAAGACUACCCGCUGAACUUAAGCAUAUCAAUAAGCGGAGGA
Molecule: unclassified non-coding RNA, 432 nt
Filed under: soil metagenome
Description: partial contains 5.8S ribosomal RNA, internal transcribed spacer 2, and large subunit ribosomal RNA
Rfam family: 5.8S ribosomal RNA (bases 1-120)
Source: RNAcentral